This 1497-nucleotide long non-coding RNA is filed under the name Homo sapiens (human). RNAcentral's name for it is "HSALNT0121625". Lineage: Eukaryota; Metazoa; Chordata; Mammalia; Primates; Hominidae. The record is from RNAcentral.
GCCGGAGGAUCAUGGGGCAGGCUUAUGAAUCACAGAGCUGGCUGAGUUGGCGUAGGGUGGGGCCUGAGAAUGUGCAUUUCUAACAAGCUCUUAGGUGCAGUUAUAGUUGUUCUGGGUGGACUGCCACUAGACUAGAAAAAAGUUGAUAUUGUCUAAAGAGUUUUGGAAGACCAGGAGGGGCCAACCCAACACUUUGGCCUUAUCAGCCCCCGCAGAUGCUGCUCUGUGUCCCUUCUGCCAGUUCUGGCUCAGUGAGGUGUCUCCCAGUCCCACUGACUGGCGGUUGCCAUAACGACAUUGCGCACACGAGGGAGGCCUGGCGGAGCAGUGGUGGGGCCAGGUGGAGAGGAGGAGGUAGAACAGACAGCUGAGCCACACAGCAUCCCAGCCAGGAUGACACGGAGGCAGGUGACCAUAGGAAGUGAGGCAGAGGAGGAUGGGGAAGAAGCUGCAGCCCAGAACCAUGAUUGCAAAUGAGCAGAGUCUGGCCUCAAGAGAGGGAGGAAGAAGCUGGUGAGGAAAAGUGGAAGGAGAAAAUAAAAUGGUUAGAAAAACACUAUAGACAAGCAUAAGAAAAAUGGAAACCAAAAAGAGACAUCGCUGCCACUGGAAAAAUGUCGGUCUCAGACAUCGUGAACACAGGAAAAGCAUUCUUCUCUGCUGCCUAUUUGCGUUUAGAUUAAUAUGGGUUUUGGGGGUUUUUGUUUUGUUUUUCCUUGAGACAAGGUCUCACAUUGUCACCCAGGCUGGAAUGCGGUAUUGGGAUCACAGCUCAUUGCAGCCUACACCUCCAGGCUCAACUGCCUCAGCCUCCCAACUGUCUGGGACUACAGACGUGCACCACUGUACCCGGCUAAUUUUUUGAUUUUUUUGUAAAGAUAAGGUCUCACUAUGCUGCCCAGGUUGGUCUCAAACUCCUGAUCUCAAGAGAUCCUCCCACCUCAGCCUCCCAAAGUGCCAGGAUUACAGGUGUGAGCUGCCAUGCCUGGCGACUUUAUGGUUUUAACAUGAAAUAAGACCAAUAUGGCUUUAACAUGAAAUAAAAAUCAUUAACUUCAGUUCAGCUCAAUAUGCCAGUCUUGGUUAUGAUAGACUACUGGUUCAGGCCCUAUUUAAAUCUGUGGAAAAUAUCCAUGUGUCUUCCUCUCUGAAUUGUUAUAAUGACUUCGAUGAAUUGUUGAAUAUUCAAAUGCUUGCUAAAUGCUAGAACAUCCUAUAAAUGUAAGAGUCAUCAUCGUCUCUUGAUUUUAUCAUCAUUGAUGUUUAACAUGCUUCUCUUUCACUUUCCCAGUCUCCUUUGGACUAUCUUUGGAAGAUUUUUUUUUUCUUUUUUUCCCCCAUUAAUUGUAGAGUAUUUGGGCACAUAUGCUUUUCUCAGAGGAGCAACUGAAGUUUAACCUGUAAAUCUGUAACUAAGCAAGGCCAGAUAACUUUCAUCUGCCUUAGUUAUUAUCAUUAAAAAUAAAAGUUGGAACCUAACUCAAUUCAAAUAUCCUG